AUUGAACGCUGGCGGCAGGCCUAACACAUGCAAGUCGAACGGUAACAGGAAGACGCUUGCUUCUUUGCUGACGAGUGGCGGACGGGUGAGUAAUGUCUGGGAAACUGCCUGAUGGAGGGGGAUAACUACUGGAAACGGUAGCUAAUACCGCAUAACGUCGCAAGACCAAAAAGGGGGACCUUCGGGCCUCUUGCCAUCGGAUGUGCCCAGAUGGGAUUAGCUAGUAGGUGGGGUAACGGCUUACCGAGGCGACGAUCCCUAGCUGGUCUGAGAGGAUGACCAGCCACACUGGAACUGAGACACGGUCCAGACUCCUACGGGAGGCAGCAGUGGGGAAUAUUGCACGAUGGGCGCAAGCCUGAUGCAGCCAUGCCGCGUGUAUGAAGAAGGCCUUCGGGUUGUAAAGUACUUUCAGCGGGGAGGAAGGGAGUAAAGUUAAUACCUGUGCUCAUUGACGUUACCCGCAGAAGAAGCACCGGCUAACUCCGUG
RNAcentral lists this ribosomal RNA (490 nucleotides) under uncultured bacterium. Its description in RNAcentral is "partial 16S ribosomal RNA". It matches the Rfam family "Bacterial small subunit ribosomal RNA", at positions 30 to 507 of the family's 1533-position model. The record is from RNAcentral.